RNAcentral lists this ribosomal RNA (465 nucleotides) under uncultured bacterium. RNAcentral's name for it is "partial 16S ribosomal RNA". It matches the Rfam family "Bacterial small subunit ribosomal RNA", at positions 28 to 507 of the family's 1533-position model. The record is from RNAcentral.
GACGAACGCUGGCGGCGUGCUUAACACAUGCAAGUCGAACGGAAAGGCCCCUUUGGGGGUACUCGAGUGGCGAACGGGUGAGUAACACGUGAGUAACCUGCCCUUGACUUCGGGAUAACUUCAGGAAACUGGGGCUAAUACCGGAUAGGAAUCCUUGCUGCAUGGUGGGGGUUGGAAAGCUUCGGCGGUUUUGGAUGGACUCGCGGCUUAUCAGCUUGUUGGUGGGGUAGUGGCUUACCAAGGCUUUGACGGGUAGCCGGCCUGAGAGGGCGACCGGCCACAUUGGGACUGAGAGACGGCCCAGACUCCGACGGGAGGCAGCAGUGGGGAAUAUUGCACAAUGGGCGGAAGCCUGAUGCAGCAACGCCGCGUGCGGGAUGACGGCCUUCGGGUUGUAAACCGCUUUCAGCAGGGGCGAAGCUUGUGGUGACGGUACCUGCAGAAGAAGCACCGGCUAACUACGUG